UGAAUUUGAUCCGAACUUUUGUUUGAGUUUUGAGAUUUCUGUUUGUAAAAAAUGCAAUGCCAAUUUGAUGAUUACAGUGCGGAUCUGAGAUCUUGUUUGCAUGUCUCUGUGUGUUUUAAUUGAUGCUUGCCGUUGUAACCAUUAUGUGCUAUGAUCUUAGGUAUCAAAUGUUACAAGCAGGUCUUCUAGUGCUUGAUAUUGUUUGGUAGAACAGCAGUCACUGAUGGAAAACAUUCCUCACCUUUUCCUCCCUUAUUGAAGCUAUGAAAUGGUGGGUAAAAUGUUAAAAUAGACUGACUAAACAGUGUUAAUAGUUUUGAACUUUGUAACAGCAAGAAUGCUGAUUUGAAUUCCCUCGAACCUUGUCAAGA
This 371-nucleotide unclassified non-coding RNA is filed under the name Hevea brasiliensis (rubber tree). The record is from RNAcentral. Lineage: Eukaryota; Viridiplantae; Streptophyta; Magnoliopsida; Malpighiales; Euphorbiaceae.